UACGUAGGGCGCAAGCGUUGUCCGGAAUUAUUGGGCGUAAAGAGCUCGUAGGCGGUUUGUCGCGUCUGCUGUGAAAACCUGAGGCUCAACCUCGGGCUUGCAGUGGGUACGGGCAGACUAGAGUGCGGUAGGGGGUGACUGGAAUUCCUGGUGUAGCGGUGGAAUGCGCAGAUAUCAGGAGGAACACCGAUGGCGAAGGCAGGUCACUGGGCCGCAACUGACGCUGGAGGAGCGAAAGCAUGGGGAGCGAACAGG
This 255-nucleotide ribosomal RNA is filed under the name uncultured bacterium. RNAcentral's name for it is "partial 16S ribosomal RNA". It matches the Rfam family "Bacterial small subunit ribosomal RNA", at positions 524 to 776 of the family's 1533-position model. The record is from RNAcentral.